This 422-nucleotide ribosomal RNA is filed under the name uncultured Glomeraceae. Its description in RNAcentral is "SSU rRNA". It matches the Rfam family "Eukaryotic small subunit ribosomal RNA", at positions 459 to 886 of the family's 1831-position model. Lineage: Eukaryota; Fungi; Glomeromycota; Glomeromycetes; Glomerales; Glomeraceae. The record is from RNAcentral.
GGGAGGUAGUGACAAUAAAUAACAAUACGGGGUUCUUUCGGAUUUCGUAAUUGGAAUGAGUACAAUUUAAAUCUCUUAACGAGGAACAAUUGGAGGGCAAGUCUGGUGCCAGCAGCCGCGGUAAUUCCAGCUCCAAUAGCGUAUAUUAAAGUUGCUGCAGUUAAAAAGCUCGUAGUUGAAUUUCGGGGUUAGUAAGUUGGUCGUGCCUUCGGUAUGUACUGGCUUUACUGAUUCCUCCUUCUUGACGAACCGUGAUGUCAUUAAUUUGGUGUCGUGGGGAAUCAGGACUGUUACUUUGAAAAAUUAGAGUGUUUAAAGCAGGCUCACGCUUGAAUACAUUAGCAUGGAAUAAUGAAAUAGGACGUUUGAUCCUAUUUUGUUGGUUUCUAGGAUUGACGUAAUGAUUAAUAGGGAUAGUUGGG